This 715-nucleotide ribosomal RNA is filed under the name Oculina patagonica. RNAcentral describes it as "partial 12S small subunit ribosomal RNA". It matches the Rfam family "Bacterial small subunit ribosomal RNA", at positions 312 to 1493 of the family's 1533-position model. RNAcentral also lists the same sequence under 4 other names. Lineage: Eukaryota; Metazoa; Cnidaria; Anthozoa; Scleractinia; Oculinidae. The record is from RNAcentral.
UUUCACUGAAACAAGGGAAAACAUUGGCAGCAGUAAAGAAUUUUAUGCAAUAUACGAAAGUAAGACAUAGGUAGGACAUUUUAACCUGUCAAAUUAAGUGCCAGCAGACGCGGUGAAACUUAAGGGUUUGUUUUUUAGAAAAAGCAGAAAGCGUGUAAAGGUAAAACAUUUAAAAUAAAUAGAAUUUUUUUAGUAAUAGUGAAAUGUUAAAAUGAGAAAAAGAAUUCUUUAUGUGAAAACAAUUUAUUUUUUUCUUGAACACGAAGGUUCUGGGAGCAAACAGGAUUAGAGACCCUGGUAGUCGAUACAGUAAAAGAAAGUCGCUUGAGUAGUACGGUCGCAAGAUUAAAAUUCAAAAAACUUGGCUGUUCAUUGUUAUUUAGAGGAGCGUGUCGCUUAAUUCGACAAUCCGCGAAUUACCUUACCAAGACUUGGUUGUCAGGUGUUGCAUGGCCGUCGUCAAUUUAUGUUUGAUACAAUAAAUUAAACCCUAGAAAGGUUGAAGUCAGGUAUUAUUGCCCUUAUGUCUUGGGGUUAGAUGCGCUACAUUUUUUUUUUAAUAAAAAAAAAGAGUUCGGAUUGUCUUUUAAAGAGGACGAUUAAGUUGAAUUUAAUAGUAAUUGAAAAGUAGAGCGUUUCAAUGAAUUUUAAGCAAUGUUAGUACAAAUAGCCCGUCGCCUUUACUGAGGUAAACAAAGUAGAGUAAGUCGUAACA